Molecule: unclassified non-coding RNA, 391 nt
Filed under: soil metagenome
Description: partial contains 5.8S ribosomal RNA, internal transcribed spacer 2, and large subunit ribosomal RNA
Rfam family: 5.8S ribosomal RNA (bases 1-122)
Source: RNAcentral
GAUGAAGAACGUAGCGAAAUGCGAUACUUGGUGUGAAUUGCAGAAUCCCGUGAACCAUCGAGUCUUUGAACGCAAGUUGCGCCCGAAGCCAUUAGGCCGAGGGCACGCCUGCCUGGGCGUCACACGUCGUUGCCCCCCCAUCUACUCCUGCGGGAUUGCGGGGGGCGGAUGAUGGCCUCCCGUGCGCCUCGUCGCGCGGUUGGCAUAAAUGCCAAGUCCUCGGCGACGCACGCCACGACAAUCGGUGGUUGCGAAACCUCGGUUGCCCGUCGUGUGCGGUCGUCGCGCAUCGAGGGCUCGAAAAAAUUGCCGGGCUCCGGCUCGACUUUCAACGCGACCCCAGGUCAGGCGGGGUUACCCGCUGAAUUUAAGCAUAUCAAUAAGCGGAGGA